RNAcentral lists this transfer RNA (93 nucleotides) under Planctomycetes bacterium ADurb.Bin412. RNAcentral's name for it is "tRNA-Ser". It matches the Rfam family "tRNA". Rfam says of the family: Transfer RNA (tRNA) molecules are approximately 80 nucleotides in length. Their secondary structure includes four short double-helical elements and three loops (D, anti-codon, and T loops). Further hydrogen bonds mediate the characteristic L-shaped molecular structure. tRNAs have two regions of fundamental functional importance: the anti-codon, which is responsible for specific mRNA codon recognition, and the 3' end, to which the tRNAs corresponding amino acid is attached (by aminoacyl-tRNA synthetases). tRNAs cope with the degeneracy of the genetic code in two manners: having more than one tRNA (with a specific anti-codon) for a particular amino acid; and 'wobble' base-pairing, i.e. permitting non-standard base-pairing at the 3rd anti-codon position. The record is from RNAcentral. Lineage: Bacteria; Pseudomonadati; Planctomycetota.
GGAGAGGUGGCUGAGUGGCCGAAGGCAGCGGUUUGCUAAACCGUCGUACUGGGUUAACCGGUACCGGGGGUUCGAAUCCCCCCCUCUCCGCCA